GACGAACGCUGGCGGCGUGCUUAACACAUGCAAGUCGAACGGAAAGGCCUGCUUUCCCUUGUGGAUUGCGGGUACUCGAGUGGCGAACGGGUGAGUAACACGUGAGUGAUCUGCCCCCAACUUGGGUAUAAGCCUGGGAAACUGGGUCUAAUUCCCGAUAGGACUGCAGGGUGGUGCCUGUGGUGGAAAACGAUUUUCUAGUGGUUGGGGAUGAGCUCUCGGCCUAUCAGCUUGUUGGUGGGGUAAUGGCCUACCAAGGCGGCGACAGGUAGCCGGCCGGAGAGGGUGGACGGCCACAUUGGGACUGAGAUACGGCCCAGACUCCUACGGGAGGCAGCAGUGGGGAAUAUUGCACAAUGGGCGGAAGCCUGAUGCAGCGACGCCGCGUGGGGGAUGACGGCCUUCGGGUUGUAAACUCCUUUCGACCGCGAGGAAGCCACCUGGUUGGAAGGGUGGUGACGGUAGUGGUAGAAGAAGCACCGGCUAACUACGUG
This 494-nucleotide ribosomal RNA is filed under the name uncultured bacterium. RNAcentral describes it as "partial 16S ribosomal RNA". It matches the Rfam family "Bacterial small subunit ribosomal RNA", at positions 28 to 507 of the family's 1533-position model. The record is from RNAcentral.